Molecule: ribosomal RNA, 520 nt
Filed under: uncultured bacterium
Lineage: Bacteria
Description: partial 16S ribosomal RNA
Rfam family: Bacterial small subunit ribosomal RNA
Source: RNAcentral
UGGGGGAUAUUGCACAAUGGAGGAAACUCUGAUGCAGCAACGCCGCGUGAAGGAUGAAGGUCUUCGGAUUGUAAACUUUUGUACUUGGGGGACGAUAAUGACGGUACCCAAGCAGCAAGCUCCGGCUAACUACGUGCCAGCAGCCGCGGUAAUACGUAGGGAGCAAGCGUUGUCCGGAUUUACUGGGUGUAAAGGGUGCGUAGGCGGCUAUGCAAGUCAGUUGUGAAAAGCUAUGGGCUCAACCCAUAGCCUGCAAUUGAAACUGCGUGGCUUGAGUGAAGUAGAGGUAGGUGGAAUUCCCGGUGUAGCGGUGAAAUGCGUAGAGAUCGGGAGGAACACCAGUGGCGAAGGCGACCUACUGGGCUUUAACUGACGCUGAGGCACGAAAGCAUGGGUAGCAAACAGGAUUAGAUACCCUGGUAGUCCAUGCCGUAAACGAUGAUUACUAGGUGUGGGGGGUCUGACCCCCUCCGUGCCGGAGUUAACACAAUAAGUAAUCCACCUGGGGGAGUACGGCCGC